RNAcentral lists this ribosomal RNA (468 nucleotides) under uncultured bacterium. RNAcentral's name for it is "partial 16S ribosomal RNA". It matches the Rfam family "Bacterial small subunit ribosomal RNA", at positions 28 to 507 of the family's 1533-position model. The record is from RNAcentral.
GACGAACGCUGGCGGUGUGCUUAACACAUGCAAGUCGAACGGUAAGGCCCUUUCGGGGGUACACGAGUGGCGAACGGGUGAGUAACACGUGAGUAACCUGCCCUCAUCUCUGGGAUAACAGUCGGAAACGGUUGCUAAUACUGGAUAUGAGCUUGCAAGGCAUCUUGUGGGUUGGAAAGAUUUUUUUUGGUUGGGGAUGGACUCGCGGCCUAUCAGCUUGUUGGUGAGGUAGUGGCUCACCAAGGCUUCGACGGGUAGCCGGCCUGAGAGGGCGACCGGCCACAUUGGGACUGAGAUACGGCCCAAACUCCUACGGGAGGCAGCAGUGGGGAAUAUUGCACAAUGGACGGAAGUCUGAUGCAGCAACGCCGCGUGCGGGAUGACGGCCCUCGGGUUGUAAACCGCUUUCAAUUGUGACGAAGCGUUUUUGUGACGGUAGCAGUAGAAGAAGCACCGGCUAACUACGUG